RNAcentral lists this non-coding RNA (27 nucleotides) under Mus musculus (house mouse). Lineage: Eukaryota; Metazoa; Chordata; Mammalia; Rodentia; Muridae. The record is from RNAcentral.
UGGAAAACGUAAGCUGUGCUGUCAUUG